GACGAACGCUGGCGGCGUGCCUAAUACAUGCAAGUCGAGCGAAUCAAUAGGAGCUUGCUCCUGUUGAUUAGCGGCGGACGGGUGAGUAACACGUGGGCAACCUGCCUAUAAGACUGGGAUAGCACCGGGAAACCGGUGCUAAUACCGGAUAAUCCUUUUCCUCUCAUGUGGAAAAGCUGAAAGUCGGUUUCGGCUGACACUUAUAGAUGGGCCCGCGGCGCAUUAGCUAGUUGGUGAGGUAACGGCUCACCAAGGCGACGAUGCGUAGCCGACCUGAGAGGGUGAUCGGCCACACUGGGACUGAGACACGGCCCAGACUCCUACGGGAGGCAGCAGUAGGGGAUCUUCCACAAUGGACGAAAGUCUGAUGGAGCAACGCCGCGUGAGCGAUGAAGGCCUUCGGGUCGUAAAGCUCUGUUGUUAGGGAAGAACAAGUACCGGAGUAACUGCCGGUACCUUGACGGUACCUAACCAGAAAGCCACGGCUAACUACGUGCCAGCAGCCGCGGUAAUACGUAGGUGGCAAGCGUUGUCCGGAAUUAUUGGGCGUAAAGCGCGCGCAGGCGGUCCUUUAAGUCUGAUGUGAAAGCCCACGGCUCAACCGUGGAGGGUCAUUGGAAACUGGGGGACUUGAGUGCAGAAGAGGAAAGCGGAAUUCCACGUGUAGCGGUGAAAUGCGUAGAGAUGUGGAGGAACACCAGUGGCGAAGGCGGCUUUCUGGUCUGUAACUGACGCU
This 736-nucleotide ribosomal RNA is filed under the name uncultured Bacillus sp. RNAcentral describes it as "bacterial SSU rRNA". It matches the Rfam family "Bacterial small subunit ribosomal RNA", at positions 28 to 747 of the family's 1533-position model. Lineage: Bacteria; Bacillati; Bacillota; Bacilli; Caryophanales; Bacillaceae. The record is from RNAcentral.